UUGAGGAUGAUAGUGUUAUUUUGAUGAUUAACAAGCAAUUAUCUAGAGUAUGCUAUAAGUUAAAUUGAUACUUCAUUUAUAAGUUCAUUACUCUCAGUAUAUUUGGUUAAUUGAAAAUAGAUACAUGACCUUGUUCAUUUGAAUGAAUCUAACCUUGAGAAUGCAGCAAAGUGUGGUUUGAGUCGACCCAUAGGUUGAUUGGGUCGACCCCGGCACA
This 217-nucleotide long non-coding RNA is filed under the name Phoenix dactylifera (date palm). Its description in RNAcentral is "long non-coding RNA (PDAC_LNC009541)". Lineage: Eukaryota; Viridiplantae; Streptophyta; Magnoliopsida; Arecales; Arecaceae. The record is from RNAcentral.